CCUACGAGAGACAGCAGUGGGGAAUAUUGGGCAAUGGGCGCAAGCCCGACCCAGCAACGCCGCGUGAAGGAAGAAGGCUUUCGGGUUGUAAACUUCUUUUAAGGGGGAAGAGCAGAAGACGGUACCCCUUGAAUAAGCCACGGCUAACUACGUGCCAGCAGCCGCGGUUAUACGUAGGUGGCAAGCGUUGUCCGGAUUUACUGGGAGUAAAGGUCGUGCAGCCGGUGAGAAAAGUCAGAUGUGAAUUCCAAGGGCUCAACCCGUGAACUGCAUUUGAAACUGUUUCCCUUGAGGGUCGGAGAGGGAAUCGGAAUUCCUGGUGUAGCGGGGAAAUGCGUAGAUAUAAGGAAGAACACCAGUGGCGAAGGCGGAUUACUGGACAAUAACUGACGGUGAGGCGCGAAAGCGUGGGGAGCAAACAGGAUUAGAUACCCGGGUAGU
Molecule: ribosomal RNA, 441 nt
Filed under: uncultured bacterium
Lineage: Bacteria
Description: partial 16S ribosomal RNA
Rfam family: Bacterial small subunit ribosomal RNA
Source: RNAcentral